RNAcentral lists this ribosomal RNA (279 nucleotides) under uncultured bacterium. Its description in RNAcentral is "partial 16S ribosomal RNA". It matches the Rfam family "Bacterial small subunit ribosomal RNA", at positions 506 to 784 of the family's 1533-position model. The record is from RNAcentral.
UGCCAGCCGCCGCGGUAAUACAGAGGAUGCGAGCGUUAUUCGGAAUCACUGGGCGUAAAGCGCGUGUAGGCGGCGUCGUCAGUCGGAUGUGAAAUCCCCGGGCUCAACCUGGGAACUGCAUCCGAUACUGCGGUGCUUGAGUUUCGGAGGGGGUGGCGGAAUUCCCGGUGUAGAGGUGAAAUUCGUAGAUAUCGGGAGGAACACCUGUGGCGAAGGCGGCCACCUGGACGAAUACUGACACUGAGGUGCGAAAGCGUGGGGAGCAAACAGGAUUAGAUA